Molecule: ribosomal RNA, 378 nt
Filed under: uncultured bacterium
Lineage: Bacteria
Description: bacterial SSU rRNA
Rfam family: Bacterial small subunit ribosomal RNA
Source: RNAcentral
AGAGACCUCAAGUGUUAUCCGGAUUUAUUGGGCGUAAAGCGUCCGCAGAUGGUUUGAAAAGUCAGGGGUCAAAACCCAGUGCUCAACAUUGGGGUUGCCUUUGAAACUUUCAAACUAGAGGACAGAAGAGGCAAGCGGAAUUGCAGGUGUAGUCGUAACAAGCGUUGAUAUCUGCAAGAACACCAAAGGCGAAGGCAGCUUGCUGGUAUGUUCCUGACAUUCAUGGACGAAAGCGUGGGGAGCGAACAGGAUUAGAUACCCUGGUAGUCCACGCCCUAAACGAUGCGUACUAGGUAUUGGCAGUAUCGACCCUGUCAGUGCCGCUUAAAAAAGCUAACGCGUUAAGUACGCCGCCUGGGGAGUACGGCCGCAGGGCUA